Molecule: long non-coding RNA, 1579 nt
Organism: Oncorhynchus tshawytscha (Chinook salmon)
Lineage: Eukaryota; Metazoa; Chordata; Actinopteri; Salmoniformes; Salmonidae
Source: Ensembl
CAAGAACAUUGCCUUCAUCCAGGCCAAGGUGACGAGACAUGGUAGUGAUGACACCAUAGGCCUUGUUGAUCGCUGCACCAGACAGGAUGCUCUUGCCCGCAUACUUGGGGUCCAACAUGUACGCUGCGGCGUGUUUGGGCUUCAGGCAGAAGUCUUCACGCUUUUUGAUGUAUUUCAGAACUGCAGUUUCCUCUGCUUGGAGCAACAGCGAAGUGGGCAGGGCAGUACGGAUUUAUUCUCUUACAUCUGCAAGCAGAGUUUGAACAUCAGACUGCACAGAUUGAGGGAGACAAUGCCAUCCUAUGGUUACCGCUAUAGGUUUCAGGGGUUUUCGGCGGCUUACCACUCUCUCCCAAAAUACAUCAUUCAGGAGGGUCCUCUUGAUGGGGCUGUCCAUAUCGGCAGACUGUGAUAUGGCCAUUUCUUGGAGAGACUCCUUCCCCUCCAGGAGACCGUCAAACAUGAUGACAAAACCACCCCAACGGGUGUUGCUGGGCAGCUUCAAUGUGGUGCUCUUAUUCUUCUCACGUUGCUUGGUGAGGUAGAUUGCUGCUAUAACUUGAUGACCCUUCAGAUACCUAACCAUUUCCUUGGCUCUCUUGUAGAGUGUAUCCAUUGUUUUCAGUGCCAUGAUGUCCUUGAGGAGCAGAUUCAAUGCAUGAGCAGCACAGCCAAUGGGUGUGAUGUGAGGGUAGGACUCUUCCACUUUAGACCAAGCCGCCUUCAUGUUCGCAGCAUUGUCACCAGUGCCUUCUGUGGUCCAAGGUCAUUGAUGACUGCCUUCAGCUCAUCUGCAAUGUAGAGACCGGCCCAAAUCCCCGUUAUUUGGUGAAGAAAAGACAGAGGAAAAGAGGACGUGGAUUGGGCUGCCUUUUGAGAAUCCAUAGGCCAGCGAGUGAACUCCCACUGCCAUCCAUUCUACUUGCUAACACGCAUAUUGUAAAAUAAAAUCGAUGACCUACGAUUACAAUUAUCCUACCAACCGGACAUUAAGAACUGUAAUACAUUAUGUUUCACCAAGUCGUGGCUGAACGACGACACGGAUAAUAUAGAGGGAUUUUCAAUGCGCCGGCAGAACAGAGAAGCUACUAAGACGAGGGGUGGGGUUGUGUCUUUUUGUCAAUAACAGCUGGUGUGCGAUGUCUAAUAUUAAAGAGGUCUUGAGGUAUUGCUCGCCUGCAGUAGAGUACCUUAUGAUAAGCUGUAGACCACACUAUCUAUAUUAUUCGUAGCCGUCUAUUUACCACCACAGACCAAUGCUGGCACUAAGACCGCACUCAACCAACUCUAUAAGGCCAUAAGCAAACAAGAAAAUGCUCACCCUGGAGUGGCGUUCCUUGUGGCCGGGGGCUUUAAUGCAGGCAAACUUAAAUCAGUUUGACCAAAUUUUUACCAGCAUGUCACAUGUGCAACCAGAGGAAAAAAAACACUAGACCACCUUUACUCCACACACAGAGAUGCAUACAAAGCUCUCCCCCGCCCUCCAUUUGGCAAAUCUGACUAUAAUUCAAUCCUCCUGAUUCCUGCUUACAAGCAAAAACUAAAGCAGGAAGUACCAGUCACUCGCUCAAUAUGGAAG